AUUGAACGCUGGCGGCAUGCCUUACACAUGCAAGUCGAACGGCAGCCCGGGUGCUUGCACUUGGUGGCGAGUGGCGUACGGGUGAGUAAUACAUCGGAACAUGUCCUGUGGUGGGGGCUAGCCCGGCGAAAGCCGGAUUAAUAACGCAUACGAUCUACGGCUGAAGGCGGGGGACCUUCGGGCCUCGCGCUGUAGGGUUGGGCGAUGGCUGAGUAGCUAGUUGGGGGGGUAACGGCCUACCAAGGCGACGAGCAGUAGCUGGUAUGAGAGGACGACCAGCCACACUGGGACUGAGACACGGCCCAGACUCCUACGGGAGGCAGCAGUGGAGAAUUCUGCACGAUGGGGCAAUGCCUGAUCCAGCAAUGCCGGGUGAGUGAUGAUGGCCUUACGGUUGUAAAGCAAAUAUGUACGGAAAUAAAUACUGGGCCAUAAUACGGUCAGGGGAUGACGGUACCUGAAGAAUAAGCACCGGCUAACUACGUG
Molecule: ribosomal RNA, 486 nt
Filed under: uncultured bacterium
Lineage: Bacteria
Description: partial 16S ribosomal RNA
Rfam family: Bacterial small subunit ribosomal RNA
Source: RNAcentral